CCUACGGGAGGCAGCAGUGAGGAAUAUUGGUCAAUGGGCGAGAGCCUGAACCAGCCAAGUCGCGUGAAGGAUGACUGCCCUAUGGGUUGUAAACUUCUUUUGUAUGGGAAUAAAAUGCCGUAUGUGUACUUCUUUGCCUGUACCUUAUGAAUAAGGAUCGGCUAACUCCGUGCCAGCAGCCGCGGUACUACGGAGGAUCCGAGCGUUAUCCGGAUUUAUUGGGUUUAAAGGGAGCGUAGGCGGGUUGUUAAGUCAGUUGGGAAAGUUUGCGGCUCAACCGCACAAUUGCAGUUGAUACUGGCAGACUUGAGUACGGUAGAGGUAGGCGGAAUGCGUGGUGUAGCGGUGAAAUGCUUAGAUAUCACGAAGAACGCCGAUUGCGAAGGCAGCCUGCUGGACUGAGACUGACGCUGAGGCACGAAAGCGUGGGGAUCAAACAGGAUUAGAUACCCUAGUAGUC
Molecule: ribosomal RNA, 460 nt
Filed under: uncultured bacterium
Lineage: Bacteria
Description: partial 16S ribosomal RNA
Rfam family: Bacterial small subunit ribosomal RNA
Source: RNAcentral